CGGGGACCGCUGAUUCGGCGGCUUUCGGGUCACCGUUUCGGUGGGAACCGAUUUAAUCGCAGUGGCUUGAACCGGGCAAAAGUCGUAACAAGGUAGCUGUAGGUGAACCUGCUGCUGGAUCAUUACUCACCGUGAU
RNAcentral lists this ribosomal RNA (136 nucleotides) under Sauertylenchus maximus. RNAcentral describes it as "partial 18S ribosomal RNA". It matches the Rfam family "Eukaryotic small subunit ribosomal RNA", at positions 1709 to 1831 of the family's 1831-position model. The record is from RNAcentral. Lineage: Eukaryota; Metazoa; Nematoda; Chromadorea; Rhabditida; Telotylenchidae.